Long non-coding RNA from Mus musculus (house mouse), 2212 nucleotides. RefSeq annotates it as predicted gene, 34639. The transcript has 5 exons. The record is from RefSeq and is a predicted model, not a curated record. NCBI's taxonomy places the organism in Eukaryota, Metazoa, Chordata, Mammalia, Rodentia, Muridae.
UCACAUAGCCCAGGCUGGCCUGUGACUUGUUGGGUAGCCAAAGCUAACCCUGAAAUACUCUCCUUCCUCCUCUGUCUUCUGAGUGAUGAUAAUAUAUGGGUGUAUUACUUCUGAUGUAUUUAUUUGGCAAUACUGGAGUCUCGUGCAUGCUACACAAGGUCUCUACCCUUGAGCUCAAUUCCCCAAUGUGCCCUCCUCCCCCAGGGUAUGUAUUUAACCUUGUCUACCUAGAACUUGCUCAUUAUUUGGAUCAGGCUAGCCUCCAACUCACAGAGAUCCUCCUACCUUUGCCUACCAAGUUCUGGUUAAAGGUGUAGGCCAUCCCUUGGCCCUUCCCUCUCAUGUGUUUUCAUUAUGUCUACGUGAUAAAGUCAAAGCUACAGUAAGGCCACCUCCCUGAGAAACUUCUUGGACAGAGAUGACCGCUAAGCUUUUCCUGGGGUUUGUUUGUUUGUUUGUUUGGAUUGGAGGAAAAUAUCCAACAAUAGCUCCAUCAUAUAAACCAACAUAGCCAUCAGUUCUAGCCUUGUUUAAGCCAGAUCAACUUAAGUAUUUUCAUAGAAACGACAAAGGCAUGGGGAAAAACUGGAAAACACAGAUAUUGCAAAACUGAAAGCAAACAGGUGAAGACGUUUCCUCCUCCGGAGUUGCCUUCGGGCUAAAGAUUGUAUCUGGUAGAUAGGAGGGAUAAAUAUUAUGCAACGGCAAACCUGGACUCAAGAGCUCCAUACUUACACCAUCUGACACAGACCUGGAUCUGGGGUCUUUCUCCUCUCCAGCAACACAUGGCCAGAAAUGUGUUGCUGUCACUCAUAAGAGAAUCUGAUGACAAAGUAGUUACACCAAUCUGUCCUUAACUGUAAGAGACUCUUAUGAUCUUAUGAGAGUUCUGGAUACCUUUCAAUCUAGAGCUAUGUAGCUAGUGAUGACCAUGAACUGCAGAUCUUCCUGUUUCGUCCUUCCAAGUGCUGGGAUGACAGAUGUCUGACAGCACACCUAGUUGAUAUGAUGCUGGAGACUGAACCAAAGACUUUCAACACAGGCCGACAUGCUAAGCACUUUCCAUCUUGAUGACAUUACUGCUGGCAAUGCUACCGUACAGUACAGCUCAUUAUAAAUCACAGCAGAAGAUCAGAAAGCACUAUCAUCAACUCAUAAAGAAAACAACUGAGGGACUGGAGAGAUGACUCAGCAGGUAAGAGCACUGGCUGCUCUUCCAGAGGACCUGGGUUUGAUUUCUAACCCCAAAUGGUGGCUCACAAUGGGUCCUGUCCUCUUCUCGUCUCUCUGGGUACCAGGCAUGCUCAUGGUACACAGACAUACAUACAGGCAAAACAUCCAUAGGAAUAAAAUGAAAUAGUGAUAAUGGUCUAAAAGAAAACCAAGUUUAGACUUUGUUCCCUGUGUAAAGAUGCUUGAUUGGAAGUCUGGCGGCCUGAGUUAGAUCCUAGGGUCCCACGUGGUAGAAACAAUGGGCUCCUGCAGAUUCUCCUCUGACCUCCAUAAGCACACCAUGGUACACAUAUGCUCCCCAACACACUCCCAUAAAAGUGAAAGAAUUCAUCCAGCCCAACAUAUAACAUUGAAUCUGAUGCCCAGCUAGAAAAUGGUUAAAACAUUUAUUUGAGCUUUGUGUACGUUUUCAAAGAUGAACUUGGGCAGAAACAGGAGAGACUCUGCCUUAAAGCAUGGUGGAAGGCAAACACCAUCUCCUCACUGUUUUCUCAUCUCCACAUGAGCACCAUGGUGUGUAUGCUUUCGAGUGUGUGCACAUGCUCGUGCACACCCACGCUCCCACCCACAUGCCAAAUCCAAGAAACUCACUUCACUCAAAGGAGGUGUGCAACAUUGUUGUUCUGUGCCGAGUGAGAACUUCCAGAAAGCAGAAGUGGAAGGAUCUAGUAUAGGAUAGAGAGAACGCCAGAGCUAGGGACAGCAUUAGAAUCUUAAAAUUAUGUGAUCAUUUCAUGACUUGCUUAUUAUGGUGGCUAUGAUGAAAAUAAGACCUGUGUAUUAUCUCAUUCGCUAUGGAAACAGCUGCUACUGCACCUGAGAAGUUUGCUGAGGGCUUGUAGGUCUCAGUCAUACAGUCGUAACUCCCUCUUAGCUUUACCAUUGUCUGAAUCUCCAUCAAAAACUUCUUCCUGUUUUGUCUCCUUCUUCCUCAUCCCCUUCCCCUCCUCAUCUUCCAUAUCUUAGUCUUCCUCUUCCU